CCAAAUUUGAAGAAAGGCAGUUUUUUGGAACAGCAGAAAUCAGCUAAUGGAAUAUCAAGUGAGUUAUGAUCAGGGGAAAUAUAUAUUGCAUAUUUUGGUGGUGUUAUUGACUAUAUCAUGUUCCGAACCAUAAACAGUACCCUAAAAGGUGUAAUUCUUCGGUCACCAAAAUUUGGUGGCUUUGGUAGGAGAGUAACAAAGGUGACUUUUGAGAAAGCACCGUUGGAAUAUUUGACAGGAAUAACAGGGACUUUGGGUCGUUUUAACGGCCAUUUAGUUGUAAAAUCUCUAUGUUUUUUAUAAACAAUGUGAAGAGUUAUGGACCCUUUGAUUCUGAGCGUGUGCCUGAGUCCGGGAAAAGAAGCUCUUUUCAUCUUCUGAUGAAAAGAUUGGGCUAUCGUUGGACUCCACGGGUGUGACUCGUACCUUGAUGCUAUUGGUGUUUAUUUGCAGAAAAUUACUCGUCGCACUUUACCAGAGGAACUUGAAUGUGAUGACCAGAAAUCUGAAGAAGGCGGUGGAGGAUAAGAAGUAUAGAGUCACAAUUUAAGCAAAUUACUCUCUCUGUUUCAAUUUGACUUCUUGGCACGGAAUUUAAGAAAAAAGAAGAAGAAAAAAGAAAGUCUUUUGAAACUUGUGGUCUUAAAAACUUAAGGAGUAUAGUUUUGUGGGGCUAUAAGAUUUGUAUGAUUAUAAAAGUUUCUCAUUAAAGGUAAAAUUGGUAAAAUAAAAAGUUUAAAGUUGAAUUAUUUUUAAAUUUAGAAAUAUGUCAUUUAUUUUGAAACAGACUAAAACGGAAAGUAUUUGAUCUAAUUUGAUACAAAGGGAAUAGCAUUUUAGUCAGGGGUGGAGCCAACUAACGGUACAAUAGUUUUAUUGUAUUAAAAAGUUUACCUAUAAAUAAUCUAUUCCGAACACAGCGAGCUGAAAGAGUUGUGGUUUAGUAUACUUUUGUAAUGUUAUUUUCCUAUGUUUUGUUAAUUCUGGUAGAAAUGUCUUUCCGGAGCUUCUGUUGCAAAUAGCUUCAUUAAAUAUAUAUGUUGUUGUAAUGGUGAAUUGUGAAUCGAAGUUUUUAUUUGUGUGUC
Molecule: long non-coding RNA, 1085 nt
Organism: Nicotiana tabacum (common tobacco)
Lineage: Eukaryota; Viridiplantae; Streptophyta; Magnoliopsida; Solanales; Solanaceae
Source: RefSeq, a predicted model, not a curated record